AUGUUUUUGCUGUAACAAAUAUGAAUUUUUUGUUUAAGUAUAAUAAUUUAAAAUGUUUUUUCUAGAGAAUGAAGUACUGCCACUAAGGUAAAGGUGCUAACUUGCAAGGAGCUGUUCUCAAAACAUUGGGUGACAAAGAAUUCACUUUUACAAAAAUCGAGCAGGAUAUUAAAGACAGCGAACUAUAGAACAAAUAUGGCGAAGCUGCAUGAAGUCUAUGUUGAAUUUUAUUAUU
Long non-coding RNA from Stegodyphus dumicola, 235 nucleotides. RefSeq lists it as uncharacterized. Lineage: Eukaryota; Metazoa; Arthropoda; Arachnida; Araneae; Eresidae. The record is from RefSeq and is a predicted model, not a curated record.